GACGAACGCUGGCGGCGUGCUUAACACAUGCAAGUCGAACGGAAAGGCCCUGCUUUUGUGGGGUGCUCGAGUGGCGAACGGGUGAGUAACACGUGAGUAACCUGCCCUUGACUUUGGGAUAACUUCAGGAAACUGGGGCUAAUACCGGAUAGGAGCUCCUGCUGCAUGGUGGGGGUUGGAAAGUUUCGGCGGUUGGGGAUGGACUCGCGGCUUAUCAGCUUGUUGGUGGGGUAGUGGCUUACCAAGGCUUUGACGGGUAGCCGACCUGAGAGGGUGACCGGCCACAUUGGGACUGAGAUACGGCCCAGACUCCUACGGGAGGCAGCAGUGGGGAAUAUUGCACAAUGGGCGGAAGCCUGAUGCAGCAACGCCGCGUGCGGGAUGACGGCCUUCGGGUUGUAAACCGCUUUCGCCUGUGACGAAGCGUGAGUGACGGUAAUGGGUAAAGAAGCACCGGCUAACUACGUGCCAGCAGCCGCGGUGAUACGUAGGGUGCGAGCGUUGUCCGGAUUUAUUGGGCGUAAAGGGCUCGUAGGUGGUUGAUCGCGUCGGAAGUGUAAUCUUGGGGCUUAACCCUGAGCGUGCUUUCGAUACGGGUUGACUUGAGGAAGGUAGGGGAGAAUGGAAUUCCUGGUGGAGCGGUGGAAUGCGCAGAUAUCAGGAGGAACACCAGUGGCGAAGGCGGUUCUCUGGGCCUUUCCUGACGCUGAGGAGCGAAAGCGUGGGGAGCGAACAGGCUUAGAUACCCUGGUAGUCCACGCUGUAAACGGUGGGUACUAGGUGUGGGGUCCAUUCCACGGGUUCCGUGCCGUAGCUAACGCUUUAAGUACCCCGCCUGGGGAGUACGGCCGCAAGGCUAAAACUCAAAGGAAUUGACGGGGCCCCGCACAAGCGGCGGAGCAUGCGGAUUAAUUCGAUGCAACGCGUAGAACCUUACCUGGGUUUGACAUGGAUCGGGAGUGCUCAGAGAUGGGUGUGCCUCUUAUGGGGUCGGUUCACAGGUGGUGCAUGGCUGUCGUCAGCUCGUGUCGUGAGAUGUUGGGUUAAGUCCCGCAACGAGCGCAACCCUUGUUCACUGUUGCCAGCACGUUAUGGUGGGGACUCAGUGGAGACCGCCGGGGUCAACUCGGAGGAAGGUGGGGAUGACGUCAAGUCAUCAUGCCCCUUAUGUCCAGGGCUUCACGCAUGCUACAAUGGCUGGUACAGAGAGUGGCGAGCCUGUGAGGGUGAGCGAAUCUCGGAAAGCCGGUCUCAGUUCGGAUUGGGGUCUGCAACUCGACCUCAUGAAGUCGGAGUCGCUAGUAAUCGCAGAUCAGCAACGCUGCGGUGAAUACGUUCCCGGGGCU
Molecule: ribosomal RNA, 1346 nt
Filed under: uncultured bacterium
Lineage: Bacteria
Description: partial 16S ribosomal RNA
Rfam family: Bacterial small subunit ribosomal RNA
Source: RNAcentral